CCUACGGGUGGCAGCAGUGAGGAAUAUUGGUCAAUGGACGAAAGUCUGAACCAGCCAAGUAGCGUGCAGGAUGACUGCCCUAUGGGUUGUAAACUUCUUUUAUAUGGGAAUAAAGUGUUCCACGUGUGGGAUUUUGUAUGUACCAUAUGAAUAAGGAUCGGCUAACUCCGUGCCAGCAGCCGCGGUAAUACGGAGGGUCCGGGCGUUAUCCGGAUUUAUUGGGUUUAAAGGGAGCGUAGGUGGAUUGUUAAGCCUGUUGUGAAAGUUCGCGGCUCAACCCGGAAAUUGCAGUGGAAACUGGCAUGCUUGAGUACACGGGAGGUGGGCGGAAUUCGUGGUGUAGCGGUGAAAUGCUUAGAUAUGACGAAGAACCCCGAUUGCGAAGGCAGCUUGCUGGACUGGAACUGACGCUGAGGCUCGAAAGUGGGGGUAUCAAACAGGAUUAGAUACCCGAGUAGUC
This 460-nucleotide ribosomal RNA is filed under the name uncultured bacterium. RNAcentral's name for it is "partial 16S ribosomal RNA". It matches the Rfam family "Bacterial small subunit ribosomal RNA", at positions 338 to 795 of the family's 1533-position model. The record is from RNAcentral.